AAAAGUAAGUCUCAGUUCGGAUUGAAGGCUGAAAUUCGCCUUCAUGAAGCCGGAAUUGCUAGUAAUGGCAGGUCAGCAUACUGCCGUGAAUACGUUCCCGGGCCUUGUACACACCGCCCGUCACACCAUGAGAGUUGGGAAUACCCGAAGCCUGUGAGCUAACGCAAGAGGCAGCAGUCGAAGGUAGAAUCAAUGAUUGGGGUGAAGUCGUAACAAGGUAUC
RNAcentral lists this ribosomal RNA (222 nucleotides) under uncultured bacterium. RNAcentral describes it as "partial 16S ribosomal RNA". It matches the Rfam family "Bacterial small subunit ribosomal RNA", at positions 1277 to 1500 of the family's 1533-position model. The record is from RNAcentral.